RNAcentral lists this non-coding RNA (1613 nucleotides) under Bacillus gaemokensis. RNAcentral's name for it is "bacterial LSU rRNA". It matches the Rfam family "Bacterial large subunit ribosomal RNA", at positions 540 to 2161 of the family's 2925-position model. Lineage: Bacteria; Bacillati; Bacillota; Bacilli; Caryophanales; Bacillaceae. The record is from RNAcentral.
GAAAGAGAUCCUGAAACCGUGUGCCUACAAAUAGUCAGAGCCCGUUAAUGGGUGAUGGCGUGCCUUUUGUAGAAUGAACCGGCGAGUUACGAUCCCGUGCGAGGUUAAGCUGAAGAGGCGGAGCCGUAGCGAAAGCGAGUCUGAAUAGGGCGUUUAGUACGUGGUCGUAGACCCGAAACCAGGUGAUCUACCCAUGUCCAGGGUGAAGUUCAGGUAACACUGAAUGGAGGCCCGAACCCACGCACGUUGAAAAGUGCGGGGAUGAGGUGUGGGUAGCGGAGAAAUUCCAAUCGAACCUGGAGAUAGCUGGUUCUCCCCGAAAUAGCUUUAGGGCUAGCCUUAAGUGUAAGAGUCUUGGAGGUAGAGCACUGAUUGAACUAGGGGUCCUCAUCGGAUUACCGAAUUCAGUCAAACUCCGAAUGCCAAUGACUUAUCCUUAGGAGUCAGACUGCGAGUGAUAAGAUCCGUAGUCAAGAGGGAAACAGCCCAGACCGCCAGCUAAGGUCCCAAAGUGUGUAUUAAGUGGAAAAGGAUGUGGAGUUGCUUAGACAACUAGGAUGUUGGCUUAGAAGCAGCCACCAUUUAAAGAGUGCGUAAUAGCUCACUAGUCGAGUGACUCUGCGCCGAAAAUGUACCGGGGCUAAAUACACCACCGAAGCUGCGGAUUGAUACCUAUGGUAUCAGUGGUAGGGGAGCGUUCUAAGGGCAGUGAAGUCAGACCGUAAGGACUGGUGGAGCGCUUAGAAGUGAGAAUGCCGGUAUGAGUAGCGAAAGACGGGUGAGAAUCCCGUCCACCGAAUGCCUAAGGUUUCCUGAGGAAGGCUCGUCCGCUCAGGGUUAGUCAGGACCUAAGCCGAGGCCGACAGGCGUAGGCGAUGGACAACAGGUUGAUAUUCCUGUACCACCUCUUUAUCGUUUGAGCAAUGGAGGGACGCAGAAGGAUAGAAGAAGCGUGCGAUUGGUUGUGCACGUCCAAGCAGUUAGGCUGAUAAGUAGGCAAAUCCGCUUAUCGUGUAUGCUGAGCUGUGAUGGGGAAGCUCCUUAUGGAGCGAAGUCUUUGAUUCCCCGCUGCCAAGAAAAGCUUCUAGCGAGAUAAAAGGUGCCUGUACCGCAAACCGACACAGGUAGGCGAGGAGAGAAUCCUAAGGUGUGCGAGAGAACUCUGGUUAAGGAACUCGGCAAAAUGACCCCGUAACUUCGGGAGAAGGGGUGCUUUCUUAACGGAAAGCCGCAGUGAAUAGGCCCAAGCGACUGUUUAGCAAAAACACAGGUCUCUGCGAAGCCGUAAGGCGAAGUAUAGGGGCUGACACCUGCCCGGUGCUGGAAGGUUAAGGAGAGGGGUUAGCGUAAGCGAAGCUCUGAACUGAAGCCCCAGUAAACGGCGGCCGUAACUAUAACGGUCCUAAGGUAGCGAAAUUCCUUGUCGGGUAAGUUCCGACCCGCACGAAAGGUGUAACGAUUUGGGCACUGUCUCAACCAGAGACUCGGUGAAAUUAUAGUACCUGUGAAGAUGCAGGUUACCCGCGACAGGACGGAAAGACCCCGUGGAGCUUUACUGUAGCCUGAUAUUGAAUUUUGGUACAGUUUGUACAGGAUAGGCGGGAGCCUUUGAA